Leopardus geoffroyi (Geoffroy's cat) is the source of this 344-nucleotide long non-coding RNA. RefSeq lists it as uncharacterized. The transcript has 3 exons. The record is from RefSeq and is a predicted model, not a curated record. NCBI's taxonomy places the organism in Eukaryota, Metazoa, Chordata, Mammalia, Carnivora, Felidae.
CACAGCCCGGUGUUCCCAGCAGCGAGCGUGGGAUUGCAUAGGGCUAGGCUUUCAUUUUGUAAACCCUCCUCGACUGCAGUUGGGCUGUUUUGAAGAGAUCUCUGUGACAGAACGACAGCCAGAGAUAUUGCUACAUCUUGCACGUGUGGGCUCCAUGGCCCCCGAGAAACCACAGUGUCCCGUGGGAACACUUGCCGCAGCACCUGGGGACCACGAAGAUGGAGACAGGACCCGUCUCCAGGGAGCAGAGAAAUGCAGGCCGGUCCCCCAGCCCCUCCCAGGGCCCAUCUGCGCUGAGUGACAAUCUCUUCCUAAUGAGAAGCAAUAAAGGCUAAUUAUCCACA